Molecule: ribosomal RNA, 479 nt
Filed under: uncultured bacterium
Lineage: Bacteria
Description: partial 16S ribosomal RNA
Rfam family: Bacterial small subunit ribosomal RNA
Source: RNAcentral
GAUGAACGCUAGCGGGAGGCCUAACACAUGCAAGCCGAGCGGUAUUUGUUCUUCGGAACAGAGAGAGCGGCGCACGGGUGCGGAACACGUGUGCAACCUGCCUUUAUCUGGGGGAUAGCCUUUCGAAAGGAAGAUUAAUACCCCAUAAUAUAUUGAGUGGCAUCACUUGAUAUUGAAAACUCCGGUGGAUAGAGAUGGGCACGCGCAAGAUUAGAUAGUUGGUGAGGUAACGGCUCACCAAGUCAAUGAUCUUUAGGGGGCCUGAGAGGGUGAUCCCCCACACUGGUACUGAGACACGGACCAGACUCCUACGGGAGGCAGCAGUGAGGAAUAUUGAACAAUGGGUUAGCGCCUGAUCCAGCCAUCCCGCGUGAAGGACGACGGCCCUAUGGGUUGUAAACUUCUUUUGUAUAGGGAUAAACCUACUCUCGUGAGAGUAGCUGAAGGUACUAUACGAAUAAGCACCGGCUAACUCCGUG